UACGGGGGGGGCAAGCGUUGUUCGGAAUUACUGGGCGUAAAGGGCUCGUAGGCGGCCAACUAAGUCAGACGUGAAAUCCCCAGGCUCAACCUGGGAACUGCGUCUGAUACUGGAUGGCUUGAAUCCGGGAGAGGGAUGCAGAAUUCCAGGUGUAGCGGUGAAAUGCGUAGAUAUCGUAAGGAAGACCAGUGGCGAAGGCGAAUCUCUGGACAGUUACUGACACUGAGGCACGAAGGCCAGGGGAGCAAACGGG
RNAcentral lists this ribosomal RNA (253 nucleotides) under uncultured bacterium. RNAcentral's name for it is "partial 16S ribosomal RNA". It matches the Rfam family "Bacterial small subunit ribosomal RNA", at positions 524 to 776 of the family's 1533-position model. The record is from RNAcentral.